Long non-coding RNA from Spinacia oleracea (spinach), 1044 nucleotides. RefSeq lists it as uncharacterized. The record is from RefSeq and is a predicted model, not a curated record. NCBI's taxonomy places the organism in Eukaryota, Viridiplantae, Streptophyta, Magnoliopsida, Caryophyllales, Amaranthaceae. The transcript is spliced from 2 exons.
ACUACAUGAUUAGUCCGCGCGUCGACUCGACGCCUUGCUGCGUCUUCCAAUAUUCUCGGCGAAUAUGAGCGUUGAGAGUUUACUAAAUAGCCAUGUGAGGCGCACGUGGUCAAACUUUACAUCCCUCGGGUCCAAUAUUAGGGGAAAACUGUCGCCAUUCAACCCUAACCACUGCGCGGUGUCUCUCUUUCUUACUUCCCUGCUUCCAGAUCUACAAUGAACAAAAGCAUUUCUCUACUUUAAGAUCGACAUGAACACAUAGUCCUCCGUCAAAAUUUCUUACUCAAGUUUUAGAUAUGACUAACACAAGAUUACAAGUCAUCAAACCGAGGAGAGAGAAUUUCAGCAUAUCACGGAAAGAGGAGUCGUAUAAUGUUCUUCCUUUACGACUCACAUGAAACGAAUUUUCCAUUGAGAUGAGAGAGGAACGAGGAGCCAAAGGAUCACUUUGUUGAUUGAUAACAUGUCCCUUGAGAAGGUAUCCCUUUCAGUGGCGGUGCCAGAAAAUUCGUACUACGGGUUCGAAAUUCAAACUCAAGCUAUGUUUUUAAUACGAAAUAUUAAACAGUACUUUUGAUACCAUACAUAAGAUACAUUAAAAUUUUAGCAACACGAUUUAUAGUCUAAAAUUUAAUUAGGACGCAAAAAAAUGGGAAGAAAAGAUGCUAAAGUUAGCAAAUUUUCAUAUUUUAAAAGUAACUUUAUAUAGGAAUUAGUUUAAAAAAUAUAUUGUUUUAGAAAAACAAAUAAAAAAAUAAGGAGGAAAGGGAUUUGAUCCCCUGACCUUUGUUAUGAUUAGAAAAGCAAAAACCACUGCAGCAACUCUUUUGUUUUGUCAUAUUCCGCGUUUACUAAUACUUGUCCGUGUUUUGUUUUGUAAAACCUGCCAGAUUUUUAGUUUAGCUAGUAAGGGUUCAGUUGAACCCACUGAACCCUUACUAGCACCGCCCCUGAUCCCUUUCUAUAUUCACCCUACCGGGCUAUUGCAAAUCAAUUUUAUGUCUAUCAGUUAUUAUCUUUAAUGCCACCUUAAAGUGGCAACGA